Molecule: long non-coding RNA, 558 nt
Filed under: Stegodyphus dumicola
Lineage: Eukaryota; Metazoa; Arthropoda; Arachnida; Araneae; Eresidae
Description: uncharacterized LOC118203489, transcript variant X2
Source: RNAcentral
CUUAAAUUUGUUUAUGUACACAGCAAUCUAUUUUCAUUUAAAUAAAAUCAGGAAGCUAAAACAAAGUUAAAACUAUCAUGAUAACCAGAAGUGAGGUUUCAUCGCCAAAAGUUUUUAAAAAUUGUCGCUAAUAGAAGGGGCACCCAAAUCUACACUGCAGCCUAAUGGCCAUGGAAGAAAUAAAUAUGGAAUUCCUGAGAUGUGGAAGAUUCCGAACAAGCGGAUGGAUUCGAGAGUUUUGGAAGGGAAACGUUUGACUUUUCUAUGCCAGAAGUUACAGCUUACGUUCGUAAGACGAACCAGUCUUUCUUGAGGGAAGGUGCGGUUAAAGGAUCUUCAAAAUCUUAGAAACAAUACCUAUUAUUGGAGGGUUCACACCAGAAAAGAAGUGAUACUCUAAGGUUGGCCAAUAUAGAGGACAAUCGUGCCAACUGGAUAAAGGACCAACAAGGAAAGGGAAUGACAAUUUCAACUGUAAAAAUUCGCUUGCAAGCAAAAGUUACGGCAAAACAAACAAACAUAAAUGAUAUCAAAAGGGGGCCUUGUGGUUGUAGCAAA